UACGUAGGGUGCAAGCGUUGUCCGGAAUUAUUGGGCGUAAAGAGCUCGUAGGCGGUUUGUCGCGUCUGCUGUGAAACCCGAGGCUCAACCUCGGGCCUGCAGUGGGUACGGGCAGACUAGAGUGCGGUAGGGGAGAUUGGAAUCCUGGUGUAGCGGUGGAAUGCGCAGAUAUCAGGAGGAACACCAAUGGCGAAGGCAGAUCUCUGGGCCGUAACUGACGCUGAGGAGCGAAAGCAUGGGGAGCGAACAGG
This 251-nucleotide ribosomal RNA is filed under the name uncultured bacterium. Its description in RNAcentral is "partial 16S ribosomal RNA". It matches the Rfam family "Bacterial small subunit ribosomal RNA", at positions 524 to 776 of the family's 1533-position model. The record is from RNAcentral.